GACGAACGCUGGCGGCGUGCUUAACACAUGCAAGUCGAACGAUGAUGCUGGAGCUUGCUCCAGUUGAUUAGUGGCGAACGGGUGAGUAACACGUGAGCAAUCUGCCCUUGACUCUGGGAUAACUGCGGGAAACUGUAGCUAAUACCGGAUACUUUCACCGGAAGGCAUCUUCUGGUGAUGAAAGAAUUUCGGUCAGGGAUGAGCUCGCGGCCUAUCAGCUUGUUGGUGAGGUAACGGCUCACCAAGGCGACGACGGGUAGCCGGCCUGAGAGGGUGACCGGCCACACUGGGACUGAGACACGGCCCAGACUCCGACGGGAGGCAGCAGUGGGGAAUAUUGCACAAUGGGCGCGAGCCUGAUGCAGCAACGCCGCGUGAGGGAUGAAGGCCUUCGGGUUGUAAACCUCUUUUAGCAGGGAAGAAGCGAAAGUGACGGUACCUGCAGAAAAAGCACCGGCUAACUACGUGCCAGCCGCCGCAGUAA
Molecule: ribosomal RNA, 484 nt
Filed under: uncultured bacterium
Lineage: Bacteria
Description: partial 16S ribosomal RNA
Rfam family: Bacterial small subunit ribosomal RNA
Source: RNAcentral